Molecule: long non-coding RNA, 3929 nt
Organism: Pan paniscus (pygmy chimpanzee)
Lineage: Eukaryota; Metazoa; Chordata; Mammalia; Primates; Hominidae
Source: Ensembl
UAUAGGAGGCUCCCGGCAAUCUUAGCCUGAAGCCAUGAAGGAAGACACAGUGUGAAGGCAAGUACAGGCUGUCCUCUGGCAGCUGAGGAUCAGGACAGGAUGUGGAGUGAACAUCCAUAUCAAAGCUUUAUUGCUUGGAUUGGAAAAAAAAUUCCUAUCUGUAGGUCAGCCUUAAAAUACACCAUUUCAUAAAAUAUUGUCUUUCCCAUAUUUUGAGCCCAUGCAAUUUGUGCUACCUGAGGGGACAGUAUUGUGUCCUUGAUUUGGUGAGAUUAGUAGCUUUCUUAUCUUAUUGACAGCUACAGAACUCAGAAACAGAAGCUGCAUAUUAAGCAAAUUUAUAUCUUUCUUGUUAUAUUAUUGUGUAUAAGAAAUAGAGAUGGCCGGGUGCGGUGGCUCACGCCUGUAAUGUCAGCAUUUUGGGAGGCGGAGGCAGACGGAUCACAAGGUCAGGAGUUUGAGACCAGCCUGGCCAACAUGGUGAAACCCUGUCUCUACUAAAAAUACAAAAGGCAAUAAAAGGUUCUAUGUGGACUUUGAAGGUCGUCUCUAUCAAUUUGAGGUUGGGAAGAACAGUUUUGUUGACAUCCUUUAGCUGUGUUACAAGUACAAUUUUGUUUUUUACUCAGGCAAAAGAAAAUGUGUGUGUGUGUUAUAUACAGUCAGCCCUCUUUAUCUGUGGGUCCUGCAUCCUUGCUUUCUACCAACCUCAGAUCAAAAAAUAUUCCAGAAAAAAAAGGAUGGUUGCAUCUGUACUGAGGCACCAUGGCCCGGCACUGCCACGUUUUCCAAGGAACCUGCCGGAGCUUCUGCGGAAGCUGCUCCUCGGGCGAUGGAGUCCCUUCGCUGGUAGGCCCUUCUUCAGUCACCACAGGAUGCCUGCCAUUCAUGAACAGGAAGGAGAGGACGGGCUUUGAAUAAAAAACAGGUAAGUUUCCAAACUACUUUUUUUCAUCAAGAUUUCAAUCUUGGCUGAGCAAAGUGGCUCACGCCUGUAAUCUCAGCAUUUUGGGAGGCCAAGGCGGGCAGAUCAUGAGGUCAGGAGAUAGAGACCAUCCUGGCCAACAUCAUCUCCUCAGCACCCAGCUCAGUCAUUUAGACAAAGAAAUAUGUAAGAUGGCCGAGCACGGUUGCUCACGCCUGUAAUCCCAGCACUUUGGGAGGCUGAGGUGGGCGGAUCACGAGGUCAGGAGGUCAGGAGAUCGAGACAGUCCUGGCUAACACGGUGAAACCCCAUCUACUAACUAAAAAAUACAAAAAAAAAAAAAAUUAGCUGGGCAUGGUGGCAGGCACCUCUAGUCCCAGCUACUCGGGAGGCUGAGGCAGGAGAAUGACGUGAAGCCAGGAGGCGGAGCUUGCAGUGAGCUGAGAUUGUGCUACUGCACUCCAGCCUAGGCAACAGAGCGAGACUCCUUCUACAAAAAAAAAAAAGAAAAGAAAAGAAAGAAAAAGAAAACAUGUAAGAAACAGUUGCCAAAAUAAUUGAAUACAGGAUCUUCAACUGAGAUUAUUUUCUUUGUUAGGAUCCAGGAAAUAUUUGUGAGGCCAUUUGGACUUCAGUGUGAAAUGGUGUUAAAAGAUGGAAGUCAUUUAUUCAAGAAGUAAACAUCUGCCACCUGGACUGUGCUCAGACAUUUCAUUGAUUUUGUUUAAUAAACAUUUUCUGGCUUUGGGAGGUGUCUCUCUUGGUAGAACACAGUGUCAAAGAUGGACAAGGUGGACACAUAGUCCAUUAUUUGGUAUUGUUUGUGUAUGGGAGCAGACCACAAAUUAAUGUUUGGAGAACAAUUUUGUCAUAACACACUGUUGAGGCUCAGUUGUACAGAACUGGAAAAGUCUUUCAGCUUGGCACAUGUCCUGAUUCAGCCUUUGUUUAACAUAUAUUCCAAUCCGGAUUCUAUCUUCACUGGCUACAAAGACCACCUGAUACGUGCACCACGACACAGGAGCUGCUGGAGAGGGGGUAGUGUUAUCACCUCAAACUCACGGCCAUAUUUUUCAAAAGCCAGCUUAGAGAGAGGUGUACUGAUAGCUGCAUAGAGAACAUGCAGUCCAUCCAUUCUUCCCAGUGAUGUACAUUUCUCAAUCAGUAACCACGUGGUAUACCAGCCUUGAGUGUCACAUCUCCCAACCAUACCAAAUGGAUCACCUAACUGGAGGUGGGGGGGGGGGCCCUCAGAAAUGAGAUUUCGUAUUUACUGUAAAAUUGCAUUAUUUUUCUUUUGAGGUGGAGUCUCACUCUGUUGCCUGGGCUGGAGUGCAAUGGUGUGAUCACUGCUCACUGCAACCUCCGCCUCCUGGGUUCAAGCAGUUCUCCUGCCUCAGCCUCCCAAGUAGCUGCAAUUACAGGCGCAUGCCACCACUCCCAGCAAAUUUUUAUAUUUUUAGUGGAGACAGGGUUUCACCAUGUUGACCAGGCUGGUGUCAAACUCCUCACCUCAGGUGAUCUGCCCACCUUGGCCUCCCAAAGUUCUGGGAUUAAAGGUACGAGCCACCGCAACUGGCUGAGAAUCUUUUUAUUUGCUGAUUUGUCUGUUGUGUAUUUUCUUUGUUCAGAUGUCUCUUCAGAUCUUUUUCUCACUUUUAAAUUGUUUUUUAAUUGUUAAGAAUUUUCUGUCUAGUUUAGAUAUAAGCCCUUUAUCAGACAUGUGUUUUGCAAAUAUUUUCUCCUAGUCUGUGGCUUGUAUUCUGUCUCUUAACACUCAUUUUAUUUUUACUUUUGGAACUAAAGAAGAAGAAUGGUCAGCUUUCCGUUAUUCUUGUAACAGUAAUGGCAGAACCAAGUCUGCUAAUGCUACAUUGAGCAAAGAAAGUCACCUGGUGAAGUCCAACAUUAAUGAAAUGGGGUAGUACAUGCAGGCGGCGUUGGGGGUGGGGAGGGAACAAAUGCUUCUUGAGAGUAAUAUAAUCUGCCAUACCAUCCAGGAACCUACAAUGGCUAUCUAUUACCUUAUUCUCUGGUUUGUUUAAUGUUCGAAUCUUUCCGAAAGAUCCUUCAACCUUUCUGGAAGAAUCUAAUCUGAUAACACCAUCAAAAACACAUUAAUUCUUUUGGCAUAAUUUAAAUUGUAAGACAUCAUUCACAUUUAUCAAUGUUACAUAUAUAAGAACUCACCCACCAUAUUCCUCCUUGAGGAAUUACAGCAUGUAAUUCUAUAACCAUUUUUAUAAUCGUCUAACAAUUUUAUAAUGGAUUGGUUGCUUACUAUCAAUUUUUUAAAAGUCAUGGCUUCUCCAGUCAUUUCUUGCUUAUCAAAAUUAUUUCAUGAGAUGGGUCUCUCCUUGUAUAUUUGAAAAUGAGGUUUGCUUCCUUCUACUUAAAAAACAACUUGAACAUACCUGUUUGGAUCACAUGGUCUUGUCCUGAUAACUUGGAAGAGGUUGCUUCAGCAUUGUUCUUAUUGUUGCGGUGGUGAUUAUUAACAUUGUUUCAUAUUCCGCUUAAAAAAUUAAAAUUUUACACGAGACCAAUGUCUUUUCAAUUCCAGUACAGUCUUCAGAAGUAACUAAUGCUAUUGGCUUUGUGCAUUGUAAUUUCAGACCAUUGUAUAUGUCUUUAGUUAUAUGUACAGUAUACACACAUAUGUGUCAUAUUAUUCCAUUUUUUCUAGCAUUAAACAUUGCUGUGGAAAACUCUCAGAAAAAUAUUUAUUUGAACAGAACUUUUUCUUUUCUCAGAUGUACCCUCCUUAGGAAUCUUUCUUUGAUCCUUGAAGUUUGGUAACAACUUUAAAUAUGUGUAUCCCAGCUGGGAGCAGCGGCUCACACCUGUAAUUUCAGCACUUUGGGAGGCCGAGGAGGGUGGAUCACCUGAGGUCAGGAGUUUGCCUGGCCAACAUGGUGAAACCCCGUCUUUACUGAAAAUACAAAAAGUUAGCCAGGUGUGGUGACUGGCACCUGUAAUCCCAGCUACAUGGGAGGCUGAGGCA